GAGAAGGAGAGGAAGAAAAUCAAAAGGGUUUCCUAUCCUUAAGGAUUUGUGUUUCUAAACCAAAUAAUAUGGAUUCUC
Small nucleolar RNA from Protopterus annectens (West African lungfish), 78 nucleotides. RefSeq annotates it as small nucleolar RNA R12. The record is from RefSeq and is a predicted model, not a curated record. NCBI's taxonomy places the organism in Eukaryota, Metazoa, Chordata, Ceratodontiformes, Protopteridae. The transcript has a single exon.